UACGGGGGGGGUAAGCGUUGUUCGGAAUUACUGGGCGUAAAGGGCUCGUAGGCGGCCAACUAAGUCGGACGUGAAAUCCCUCAGCUUAACUGGGGAACUGCGUCCGAUACUGGAUGGCUUGGAUUUGGGAGAGGGAUGCGGAAUUCCAGGUGUAGCGGUGAAAUGCGUAGAUAUCAAGAGGAACACCUGAGGCGAAGGCGGGUUGCUAGGCUGACACUGACGCUGAGGCGCGAAAGCUAGGGUAGCAAACGGG
Molecule: ribosomal RNA, 253 nt
Filed under: uncultured bacterium
Lineage: Bacteria
Description: partial 16S ribosomal RNA
Rfam family: Bacterial small subunit ribosomal RNA
Source: RNAcentral